CAGUAGGGAAUAUUGCACAAUGGAGGAAACUCUGAUGCAGCGACGCCGCGUGAGUGAUGAAGGACUUCGGUUCGUAAAGCUCUGUCGCAUGGGAAUAAGUUCUGAAUGUACCAUGCAAGAAAGGAUCGGCUAACUUCGUGCCAGCAGCCGCGGUAAGACGAGGGAUCCUAGCGUUGUUCGGAAUCAUUGGGCGUAAAGCGGAUGUAGGUGGCUUGGUAAGUCAGGUGUGAAAGCCCAGGGCUCAACCCUGGAAGUGCAUUUGAAACUGCUAAGCUUGAGUGCUAGAGAGGUUACUAGAAUACCUGGUGUAGUGGUGAAAUACGUAGAUAUCAGGUGGAAUACCGGAGGCGAAGGCGGGUAACUGGCUAGACACUGACACUCAAAUCCGAAAGCGUGGGGAUCAAACAGGAUUAGA
This 415-nucleotide ribosomal RNA is filed under the name uncultured bacterium. Its description in RNAcentral is "bacterial SSU rRNA". It matches the Rfam family "Bacterial small subunit ribosomal RNA", at positions 352 to 782 of the family's 1533-position model. The record is from RNAcentral.